Molecule: ribosomal RNA, 253 nt
Filed under: uncultured bacterium
Lineage: Bacteria
Description: partial 16S ribosomal RNA
Rfam family: Bacterial small subunit ribosomal RNA
Source: RNAcentral
UACGUAGAGGGCAAGCGUUGUCCGGAAUCAUUGGGCGUAAAGAGCGUGUAGGCGGCUCGAUAAGUCCGCUGUGAAAGUCCAGGGCUCAACCCUGGAAGGCCGGUGGAAACUGUCGGGCUAGAGUCCGGAAGAGGCGAGUGGAAUUCCCGGUGUAGCGGUGAAAUGCGCAGAUAUCGGGAGGAACACCAAUGGCGAAGGCAGCUCGCUGGGACGGUACUGACGCUGAGACGCGAAAGCGUGGGGAGCAAACAGG